GACACAGCCGGGAUUUCCAGCCGGCGCUUUUGCACAUCCCACUUCUUCAGAUCCCUUCGGCAACUGCGAAGUCGCCUGGAUUUCCCAGCAACCUGCAUUCCAUUUGUCUCAUUGACCCUACUGCAUUUUUCCUUCGCAUCAUUAAAAAGGAUGUAAUGUACAGAAAAGCACAGACAGACCUAAACUCCAAUGCCAACCAUGCCAUCUGCUGAUUAUAAGACAGUGGAACAGAGUGCAUACAGAAAGAGCUCAGAAGUGAAAGAUGCGCAGAGUGCCCACAGUGGCAGCAACUAGCUGAGGGGCCUUCAGAUCGCAGCCUUCCGGACCACCGUUAUAACAGGUAGAGAUAUGCAAGGUUAAGUCCAGCUAUUGAAUUUUUAAAACCUAAAUUACACCUCUUCUCAACCUCUGCCUCCUCCAAGGAGCCUUACCUGAGGAGA
RNAcentral lists this long non-coding RNA (440 nucleotides) under Homo sapiens (human). RNAcentral's name for it is "HSALNT0361674". Lineage: Eukaryota; Metazoa; Chordata; Mammalia; Primates; Hominidae. The record is from RNAcentral.